AUGAACGCUGGCGGCGUGCCUAAUACAUGCAAGUCGAGCGAACAGACGAGGAGCUUGCUCCUCUGACGUUAGCGGCGGACGGGUGAGUAACACGUGGAUAACCUACCUAUAAGACUGGGAUAACUUCGGGAAACCGGAGCUAAUACCGGAUAAUAUAUUGAACCGCAUGGUUCAAUAGUGAAAGACGGUUUUGCUGUCCCUUAUAGAUGGAUCCGCGCCGCAUUAGCUAGUUGGUAAGGUAACGGCUUACCAAGGCAACGAUGCGUAGCCGACCUGAGAGGGUGAUCGGCCACACUGGAACUGAGACACGGUCCAGACUCCUACGGGAGGCAGCAGUAGGGAAUCUUCCGCAAUGGGCGAAAGCCUGACGGAGCAACGCCGCGUGAGUGAUGAAGGUCUUCGGAUCGUAAAACUCUGUUAUUAGGGAAGAACAAAUGUGUAAGUAACUAUGCACGUCUUGACGGUACCUAAUCAGAAAGCCACGGCUAACUACGUG
This 496-nucleotide ribosomal RNA is filed under the name uncultured bacterium. RNAcentral describes it as "partial 16S ribosomal RNA". It matches the Rfam family "Bacterial small subunit ribosomal RNA", at positions 29 to 507 of the family's 1533-position model. The record is from RNAcentral.